Molecule: ribozyme, 78 nt
Filed under: Crocodylus porosus (Australian saltwater crocodile)
Lineage: Eukaryota; Metazoa; Chordata; Crocodylia; Crocodylidae
Description: Mammalian CPEB3 ribozyme (ENSCPRG00005015662.1)
Rfam family: Mammalian CPEB3 ribozyme
About the family: The mammalian CPEB3 ribozyme is a self cleaving RNA located in the second intron of the CPEB3 gene which belongs to a family of genes regulating messenger RNA polyadenylation. This ribozyme is highly conserved and found only in mammals. There is currently only one other known self cleaving ribozyme in mammals, the CoTC motif.
Source: Rfam by way of RNAcentral
AGGGCAAGAGUAGAAGGCCAUAGCAGAAGCACUUAUGGUAUGGCCCUGUCGGAUUCCAGUGAAUCUGCGAAUUCUGCU